This 484-nucleotide ribosomal RNA is filed under the name uncultured bacterium. RNAcentral describes it as "partial 16S ribosomal RNA". It matches the Rfam family "Bacterial small subunit ribosomal RNA", at positions 30 to 507 of the family's 1533-position model. The record is from RNAcentral.
AUUGAACGCUGGCGGCAUGCCUAACACAUGCAAGUCGAGCGGAUGAAGGGAGCUUGCUCCUGGAUUCAGCGGCGGACGGGUGAGUAAUGCCUAGGAAUCUGCCUGGUAGUGGGGGAUAACGUCCGGAAACGGGCGCUAAUACCGCAUACGUCCUGAGGGAGAAAGUGGGGGAUCUUCGGACCUCACGCUAUCAGAUGAGCCUAGGUCGGAUUAGCUAGUUGGUGGGGUAAAGGCCUACCAAGGCGACGAUCCGUAACUGGUCUGAGAGGAUGAUCAGUCACACUGGAACUGAGACACGGUCCAGACUCCUACGGGAGGCAGCAGUGGGGAAUAUUGGACAAUGGGCGAAAGCCUGAUCCAGCCAUGCCGCGUGUGUGAAGAAGGUCUUCGGAUUGUAAAGCACUAUAAGUUGGGAGGAAGGGCAGUAAGUUAAUACCUUGCUGUUUUGACGUUACCAACAGAAUAAGCACCGGCUAACUUCGUG